UGCGCAGGCGGACUUUUAAGUCAGUGGUGAAAUCCCGAGGCUCAACCUCGGAACUGCCAUUGAUACUGGAAGUCUUGAAUUUGGUUGAAGUGGGCGGAAUGUAGCAUGUAGCGGUGAAAUGCUUAGAUAUGCUACAGAACACCGAUCGCGAAGGCAGCUCACUAAGCCAAUAUUGACGCUCAGGAACGAAAGCGUGGGGAGCAAACAGGAUUAGAUACCCUGGUAGUCC
Molecule: ribosomal RNA, 229 nt
Filed under: uncultured bacterium
Lineage: Bacteria
Description: partial 16S ribosomal RNA
Rfam family: Bacterial small subunit ribosomal RNA
Source: RNAcentral